AGUGAACGCUGGCGGUAGGCCUAACACAUGCAAGUCGAACGGCAGCACAGUAAGAGCUUGCUCUUACGGGUGGCGAGUGGCGGACGGGUGAGGAAUACAUCGGAAUCUACUUUUUCGUGGGGGAUAACGUAGGGAAACUUACGCUAAUACCGCAUACGACCUACGGGUGAAAGCAGGGGAUCUUCGGACCUUGCGCGAUUGAAUGAGCCGAUGUCGGAUUAGCUAGUUGGCGGGGUAAAGGCCCACCAAGGCGACGAUCCGUCGCUGGUCUGAGAGGAUGAUCAGCCACACUGGAACUGAGACACGGUCCAGACUCCUACGGGAGGCAGCAGUGGGGAAUAUUGGACAAUGGGCGCAAGCCUGAUCCAGCCAUACCGCGUGGGUGAAGAAGGCCUUCGGGUUGUAAAGCCCUUUUGUUGGGAAAGAAAAGCAGCAGGUUAAUACCCCGCUGUUCUGACGGUACCCAAAGAAUAAGCACCGGCUAACUUCGUG
RNAcentral lists this ribosomal RNA (492 nucleotides) under uncultured bacterium. RNAcentral describes it as "partial 16S ribosomal RNA". It matches the Rfam family "Bacterial small subunit ribosomal RNA", at positions 29 to 507 of the family's 1533-position model. The record is from RNAcentral.